Molecule: transfer RNA, 73 nt
Filed under: Marmota monax (woodchuck)
Lineage: Eukaryota; Metazoa; Chordata; Mammalia; Rodentia; Sciuridae
Rfam family: tRNA
About the family: Transfer RNA (tRNA) molecules are approximately 80 nucleotides in length. Their secondary structure includes four short double-helical elements and three loops (D, anti-codon, and T loops).
Source: Rfam by way of RNAcentral
UGGGGUGUAGCUCAGUUGGUAGAGUGCUUGUCUUAGAAACAUAAGACUCUGGGUUCAAUCCCCAGCACCAAAA